UACGUAGGGGGCUAGCGUUGUCCGGAAUCAUUGGGCGUAAAGAGCGCGUAGGCGGCCAGAUAAGUCCGGUGUGAAAGUCACAGGCUCAACCUGUGAAUGCCGCUGGAAACUGUCUGGCUAGAGUCCGGAAGAGGCGAGUGGAACUCCUGGUGUAGCGGUGGAAUGCGCAGAUAUCAGGAAGAACACCAACGGCGAAGGCAGCUCGCUAGGACGGUACUGACGCUGAGACGCGAAAGCGUGGGGAGCGAACAGG
Molecule: ribosomal RNA, 253 nt
Filed under: uncultured bacterium
Lineage: Bacteria
Description: partial 16S ribosomal RNA
Rfam family: Bacterial small subunit ribosomal RNA
Source: RNAcentral